CGGCGUGGAUGAGGCAUGCAAGUCGAACGAAGUGUAGCAAUACACUUAGUGGCGGAAGGGUUAGUAAUACAUGGGUAACUUACCAUUAACUUGGGAAUAACGGUUGGAAACGAUCGCUAAUACCGAAUGUGGUGAUAACAAGGCAUCUUGAAAUCAUUAAAGUGGGGGAUCGCAAGACCUCGCGGUUAAAGAGAGGCCCAUGGGAUAUCAGCUAGUUGGUAGGGUAAAGGCCUACCAAGGCUAAGACGUCUAGGCGGAUUGAGAGAUUGACCGCCAACACUGGGACUGA
This 289-nucleotide ribosomal RNA is filed under the name uncultured clinical Neochlamydia sp. RNAcentral describes it as "partial 16S ribosomal RNA". It matches the Rfam family "Bacterial small subunit ribosomal RNA", at positions 40 to 322 of the family's 1533-position model. Lineage: Bacteria; Pseudomonadati; Chlamydiota; Chlamydiia; Parachlamydiales; Parachlamydiaceae. The record is from RNAcentral.